RNAcentral lists this ribosomal RNA (446 nucleotides) under uncultured bacterium. RNAcentral's name for it is "bacterial SSU rRNA". It matches the Rfam family "Bacterial small subunit ribosomal RNA", at positions 330 to 793 of the family's 1533-position model. The record is from RNAcentral.
ACCAGACUCCUACGGGAGGCAGCAGUGGGGAAUAUUGCACAAUGGGGGAAACCCUGAUGCAGCGACGCCGCGUGAGUGAAGAAGUAUCUCGGUACGUAAAGCUCUAUCAGCAGGGAAGAAAAUGACGGUACCUGACCAAGAAGCCCCGGCUAACUACGUGCCAGCAGCCGCGGUAAUACGUAGGGGGCAAGCGUUAUCCGGAUUUACUGGGUGUAAAGGGAGCGUAGACGGCUGCGCAAGUCAGAAGUGAAAGCCCGGGGCUCAACCGCGGGACUGCUUUUGAAACUGUGUAGCUAGAGUGCAGGAGAGGUAAGUGGAAUUCCUAGUGUAGCGGUGAAAUGCGUAGAUAUUAGGAGGAACACCGGUGGCGAAGGCGGCUUACUGGACUGUAACUGACGUUGAGGCUCGAAAGCGUGGGGAGCAAACAGGAUUAGAUACCCUAGUAA